UCCCUAGUGACCGAUAGUGAACCAGUACCGUGAGGGAAAGGUGAAAAGCACCCCGGAAGGGGAGUGAAACAGUUCCUGAAACCGUGUGCCUACAAGUAGUUAGAGCCCGUUAAUGGGUGAUAGCGUGCCUUUUGUAGAAUGAACCGGCGAGUUACGAUUUGUUGCAAGGUUAAGCGGAAAAAGCGGAGCCGUAGCGAAAGCGAGUCUGAAUAGGGCGCAUAAGUAACAGGUCGUAGACCCGAAACCAGGUGAUCUACCCAUGUCCAGGAUGAAGGUAAGGUAAUACUUACUGGAGGUCCGAACCCACGCACGUUGAAAAGUGCGGGGAUGAGGUGUGGGUAGCGGAGAAAUUCCAAUCGAACUUGGAGAUAGCUGGUUCUCUCCGAAAUAGCUUUAGGGCUAGCCUCGAGGUAAAGAGUCAUGGAGGUAGAGCACUGUUUGGACUAGGGGCCCUUCUCGGGUUACCGAAUUCAGAUAAACUCCGAAUGCCAUGUACUUAUACUCGGGAGUCAGACUGCGAGUGAUAAGAUCCGUAGUCGAAAGGGAAACAGCCCAGACCACCAGUUAAGGUCCCCAAAUAUAUGUUAAGUGGAAAAGGAUGUGGGGUUGCUUAGACAACCAGGAUGUUGGCUUAGAAGCAGCCACCAUUGAAAGAGUGCGUAAUAGCUCACUGGUCGAGUGACCCCGCGCCGAAAAUGUACCGGGGCUAAACAUAUUACCGAAACUGUGGAUGAACCUCUUUAGAGGUUCGUGGUAGGAGAGCGUUCUAAGGGCGGUGAAGUCAGACCGGAAGGACUGGUGGAGCGCUUAGAAGUGAGAAUGCCGGUAUGAGUAGCGAAAGAAGGGUGAGAAUCCCUUCCACCGAAUAUCUAAGGUUUCCUGAGGAAGGCUCGUCCGCUCAGGGUUAGUCGGGACCUAAGCCGAGGCCGAUAGGCGUAGGCGAUGGACAACAGGUAGAGAUUCCUGUACCAGUGCUAAUUGUUUAACCGAUGGGGUGACACAGAAGGAUAGGGAAUCGCACGAAUGGAAAUGUGCGUCCAAGCAGUGAGUGUGAGAA
This 1057-nucleotide ribosomal RNA is filed under the name Listeria monocytogenes. Its description in RNAcentral is "partial 23S ribosomal RNA". It matches the Rfam family "Bacterial large subunit ribosomal RNA", at positions 474 to 1531 of the family's 2925-position model. Lineage: Bacteria; Bacillati; Bacillota; Bacilli; Caryophanales; Listeriaceae. The record is from RNAcentral.